CCUAUCUAUCUAUAACACUAAGCUAACAUAAUUCAGAACGAUUCCAUAAACUCAAAACCAGACAAAUGCAAAGUCAACGGGACAUUUGUGAGAGAGUAAGAAAAUGAAUGAGUCCUGACCUUUGAUGUGUUCAUGAUGAGCAGGAGCAUCAGAAGUCUUAGCGUCAUCAUCUUCAUCAUCAUCCCUACGUGAUUUAACAGUGACAAUAGCUUCCCUAGUGCCACCAACGUUCCCAGGAGGAGAAGGACCAUCACGAUCAUCAGGGUAUCUAACCACAACAACAGGACAAACACAAUGAUGAACACAGUAAUCACUAACAGAGCUUAUGAGGGAACCCAGCUUCUUUCAACGGCUUCGCUAGAUCCGCUACUUUCGAAAUCUAAUGUGAAAGCGUCGAAAUCUUCCUGACUAGGUUUCGCCUGAGCUUCGGGAUCGACGGCGGAAGGAGGAGGAGGAGGAGUUUGGAGAGGGAGAGGUCUAGCCAUUGUCACCUCAAGCUCCCUUCCUACCAUGCGUCUUCCAUUCAGUACUCUAACGCCUUGUCAUUGCCUUCACCACCUCUCAGAACAAUGAAAGCAAAUCCUAAGGGAACACGGGUUUUACACUCUUAUGGGAACAAAAAACCCUUGUGACCUCUCCACAAGAACUGAAAACGUUGGUUAAUGCAUUCUUGAUAUCAUCCCUAGGUUGCAAAUGUUGAAAUCCCUUCACGAAAAUGAUGAGAAGAAGAGUGAAAAACAUGGCCAAGUCUUUUCCAACUUUUAAAGUUACGUAGACGCAUUUUAUUUUUUGUAGAAGAGUUACAUAGAUGCAUUGACAAGAUUUAUAGCUUAGUGAAGCUAGCAGAACUGUAUUAUAUAGAAGCCAUCAAAUGGAAUCAAUGGAUAUUAAAGGCUCAGCUAAAGUCUUCUCAAGAUACAAAGGCUGGAUUGUGGAGAAUCACUAUCCAUGAAGAUGGAGGCAUAUCAAAGGCACUUCACAAGUUUGGACCGAGCAAAAUGAAA
This is a long non-coding RNA of Camelina sativa (false flax), 1004 nucleotides long. RefSeq lists it as uncharacterized. The record is from RefSeq and is a predicted model, not a curated record. Lineage: Eukaryota; Viridiplantae; Streptophyta; Magnoliopsida; Brassicales; Brassicaceae.